AGUUAAUUAACUUAAUAGAAAGUUUAUGUUUUGAAAACAUAACAUUAGAAGUUCAAAUCUUCUAUUAACUU
This 71-nucleotide transfer RNA is filed under the name Mekongiella kingdoni. RNAcentral's name for it is "tRNA-Ser". It matches the Rfam family "tRNA". From Rfam's summary of the family: Transfer RNA (tRNA) molecules are approximately 80 nucleotides in length. RNAcentral also lists the same sequence under 1 other name. The record is from RNAcentral. Lineage: Eukaryota; Metazoa; Arthropoda; Insecta; Orthoptera; Pyrgomorphidae.